Molecule: long non-coding RNA, 926 nt
Organism: Episyrphus balteatus (marmalade hoverfly)
Lineage: Eukaryota; Metazoa; Arthropoda; Insecta; Diptera; Syrphidae
Exons: 3
Source: RefSeq, a predicted model, not a curated record
AAAAAAAAAAAAAAAACAAAAGUCAAUAGAUAGUGGUGAAAAGUUCUUUUCGAACAUAAUCACAAAGAUCUGUUCGAAAUUUUUUUAUUGAAUUUCCUGUACUAACUUGUGGUGAACAAAAUUAUAAAUUUUGCAAAAUAAUUAAAAGUGGUUUAUUAUCGGCGGUCCCAGAUUGUCAUAAAAGGGCUGGGCCGCCGCACCGUUAUAAAAAAAUUCAUUAUUUUUCAACCUCUUUUUUUUGGAUGAAAAGAAAGAAAAUUGUGUCCUGGUCCACAGUCAACUGACUUCGACACCGCUUUGCGAAGGGAGCCUUAGGCCGUCCAUCGAAGCACCCAGUAAGACUUGAGGGCUGGUCUAUACCAAAGUACCCCUGAAUUGCCCUAAAAAGAAAACGAAAGUACUCGCCUGCAAUAAUAAAAACAAAGGUCGCAGUGAGUUUUUUUAAACAAUAAAAAAAAUCAAAAAUACACCUAAAACAAAGGAAAUCUACCAAAAAUAUAAAAGAAAGUUCACCCCAUCAACACGUGUCCAACAAAAACGGGACCGUUUUUAAAAUUUAUGUGUUUGUGUUGUUUCUAUUUAUUAAUUAUUUGUUUUUUUGGCGUUUUAACUACAUUUUUUCAAUAUAUUUUUUUGGUUCUUUUUUCUUAAAAUUCAAAAAUAUUAAAAUUUACAUUGUAAGUGAUAAAAAAAAAAUAAUUCCACAGGGGUCCACGCGGAUUUUGAAAUUUUUAUUUUCCUAGGGUUAGGACCUCCAAAGAGCUCUCUAGGGGUUGGGGAUCCUGGGACGUUUUUUUUUUUUGUAUUUGAGUAGGUACCACAAAGGGUAUCCUGAUUUUUUUUUUUUUGUUUUUUUGUUCAUUGCCUCGAAAAGGAAUCGUUUUUUUUUGUUACAUUUUUCUUUUGUUUUGCUUAGUUUUUUUUUG